RNAcentral lists this long non-coding RNA (214 nucleotides) under Lathyrus oleraceus (garden pea). Its description in RNAcentral is "Pisum sativum (pea) long non-coding RNA (PSAT_LNC026687)". The record is from RNAcentral. Lineage: Eukaryota; Viridiplantae; Streptophyta; Magnoliopsida; Fabales; Fabaceae.
UCAAGACUCUGAAGACCAAGAUUCUGAAGACUCUCAUACAGACUCUGAUUCUUCUUCUAUGCAUACUUCAUAAACUUUCCAUCUGAAGUCUCUGAAUAAAUGAAGAUAAGAUCAAAAAGGUUUUACGUGAGAAAUAGUACUAAAUACAAGAUCAAAUAUUCUUUCCACUAUGUUAAUUUUGUAGGAAAAGGAUUGUACUAUUGUACCAUUAUGU